RNAcentral lists this ribosomal RNA (305 nucleotides) under uncultured bacterium. Its description in RNAcentral is "bacterial SSU rRNA". It matches the Rfam family "Bacterial small subunit ribosomal RNA", at positions 337 to 659 of the family's 1533-position model. The record is from RNAcentral.
ACCUACGGGGCGCAGCAGUGGGGAAUAUUGCACAAUGGGAGAAACCCUGAUGCAGCGACGCCGCGUGAAGGAAGAAGUAUUUCGGUAUGUAAACUUCUAUCAGCAGGGAAGAAAAUGACGGUACCUGACUAAGAAGCCCCGGCUAACUACGUGCCAGCAGCCGCGGUAAUACGUAGGGGGCAAGCGUUAUCCGGAUUUACUGGGUGUAAAGGGAGCGCAGGCGGCACGGCAAGCCUGAUGUGAAAGCCCGCGGCCCAACCGCGGGACUGCAUUGGGAACUACCGGGCUGGAGUGCCGGAGGGGUA